RNAcentral lists this ribosomal RNA (367 nucleotides) under uncultured bacterium. RNAcentral describes it as "bacterial SSU rRNA". It matches the Rfam family "Bacterial small subunit ribosomal RNA", at positions 150 to 507 of the family's 1533-position model. The record is from RNAcentral.
GACGAAAGCUACGCUAAUACCGCAUACGAUCUACGGAUUAGAAAGGCGGGGGACUCGCAAGAGCCUCGCGCGAUUGGAGCGGCCGAGUGGCAGAUUAGGUAGUUGGUGGGGUAAAGGCUCACCAAGCCUGCGAUCUGUAGCUGGUCUGAGAGGACGACCAGCCACACUGGAACUGAGACACGGUCCAGACUCCUACGGGAGGCAGCAGUGGGGAAUUUUGGACAAUGGGCGCAAGCCUGAUCCAGCAAUGCCGCGUGCAGGAUGAAGGCCUUCGGGUUGUAAACUGCUUUUGUACGGAACGAAACGGCCUUUCUAAUACAGAAGGCUAAUGACGGUACCGUAAGAAUAAGCACCGGCUAACUACGUG